AAAGGACACUGGGGGAGAUGGACGAGGCCAUCUGAGAGUAAGGUCCGAUGAAACCUUAGACCCUUUGAACCUGAUCUGGAUUAUACCAGCGUAGGGAAGUGGGAAAAUAUGCAC
Molecule: non-coding RNA, 114 nt
Filed under: Caloramator australicus
Lineage: Bacteria; Bacillati; Bacillota; Clostridia; Eubacteriales; Clostridiaceae
Also listed under: 1 other name
Description: TPP sequence
Rfam family: TPP riboswitch aptamer (THI element)
About the family: Vitamin B(1) in its active form thiamin pyrophosphate (TPP) is an essential coenzyme that is synthesised by coupling of pyrimidine and thiazole moieties in bacteria. The previously detected thiamin-regulatory element, thi box was extended, resulting in a new, highly conserved RNA secondary structure, the THI element, which is widely distributed in eubacteria and also occurs in some archaea.
Source: RNAcentral